CGGUAAUUCCAGCUCCAAUAGCGUAUACUAAAGUUGUUGCAGUUAAAAAGCUCGUAGUUGGAUUUCUGCGGGGACGGAGCGGCCGGUCGCAACUUGCGACUCGAGCUAGCGCUUUCCCCGCAUCCUGCCGCGAACCGUGCUACCAUUAGUUUGGUGGCGCUGGGGAUCGGCUCGAUUACUUUGAGAAAAAUAGAGUGUUCAAAGCAGGCCACACGCCUUGAAUAAGUUAGCAUGGAAUAAUGACUAAGGACUUCGGUUCUAUUUUGUUGGUGUUCGGGACUGAAGUAAUGAUUGAUAGGGACAGUUGGGGCGGUCUGCAUUCCAAAGCGAGAGGUGAAAUUCUUAGACCUUCGGAAGACAAACAGCUGCGAAAGCGUUCCGCAAGGAUGUUCCCUUUGAUCAAGAACGAAAGUUGGGGGAUCGAAGACGAUCAGAUACCGUCGUAGUCUCAACUAUAAACUAUACCAGCUAGGGAUCGGUCAACGUUUAAUUAUUCGACUUGAUCGGCACCUUAUGAGAAAUCAAAGCAUCUGGGUUCCGGGGGGAGUAUGGUCGCAAGGCUGAAACUUAAAGGAAUUGACGGAAGGGCACCACCAGCCGUGGAGCCUGUGGCUUAAUUUGACUCAACACGGGAAAACUUACCAGGUCCAGACAUAGUAAGGAUUGACAGAUUGAUAGCUCUUUCUUGAUUCUGUGGGUGGUGGUGCAUGGCCGUUCUUAGUUGGUGGAGUGAUUUGUCUGGUUAAUUCCGUUAACGAACGAGACCCCAGCCUGCUAAAUAGCGCGGCUGAGCUUUGCUCGGUGCGAGCUUCUUAGAGGGACUAUGAUGCGCGAUAGCACAUGGAAGUUUGGGGCAAUAACAGGUCUGUGAUGCCCUUAGAUGUUCUGGGCCGCACACGGGCUACACUGGCGCCUGCAACGAGCAUAUCAGCUGGCCCGAGAGGGUCUUGGCUAAUCUUUUGAACCGGCGCCGUGCUUGGGAUUGACCUUUGCAAUUGUUGGUCAUGCAACGAGGAAUGCCUUGUAAACGCGAGUCAUCAGCUCGCAUUGAAUACGUCCCUGCCCUUUGUACACACCGCCCGUCGCUCCUACCGAUGAAUGUUCCGAUGAAAUUUUCGGAGAGCGCCAGAGAACGGGGCUCUGCCUUGCAGAUCUGGAGGCUCAAAGUCACUUAAAUCUGAACAUUUCGAGGAAGGAGAAGUCGUAACAAGGUAGCCG
RNAcentral lists this ribosomal RNA (1218 nucleotides) under uncultured Rhizaria. RNAcentral describes it as "SSU rRNA". It matches the Rfam family "Eukaryotic small subunit ribosomal RNA", at positions 577 to 1805 of the family's 1831-position model. The record is from RNAcentral.